This 465-nucleotide long non-coding RNA is filed under the name Vulpes vulpes (red fox). RNAcentral describes it as "lncRNA (ENSVVUG00000013274.1)". The record is from RNAcentral. Lineage: Eukaryota; Metazoa; Chordata; Mammalia; Carnivora; Canidae.
UAAAAUCUAGAAUGUGUGCCCCUAAAUAUACCGAGAAUUAUUUAAAACUAUAUUGUAUUUUCCGAUCCUGGCCAAGUUACAUGAACGUUCAUUGGACACACGCAGGAAUCAGAGAUGGAUACCCUAGAAAGCCUUGCCAAGUUUAUGAGCCAAGAAAUAGCUGGAACUUCAAAGAGAAAGAAGAGUGAAAGACUUUCAUCUCUACUUUUUGCUCUCCUUUGCUAAACCUGCUGUACAGAAACGACCUUCAACUCAACAAUGUUCCCUCUCCCAGGAGACUUUGCUCUUCAAGCUAGAUCAAAGCUCAAGACAAACAAGACCCGUUGCCCUCUAAAUUUAGACAGUAGUGAGUAUUUUACCUCAGAUCUCAAUUAGGAAUUGCAUUUGACUGCUAGUAAUAGAGAUUAAAAAUAACAAUGGCUUACAUGGGUGAGUUUCUCUCCCAGAAGGGAAGUCCAGUGAAAG